AUGUCUGGAUUGGCCUGGGAUGAAGGAAUAAGGAGCCUGGAGCAACAGUGUGGCUUUGUUACUUUAAUGGAGGGAAAAUACCAGCCCCUCCACCUCACAGAAGGCCACAAACAUCUAGGGCUCUUCAGCACUGCAUUAUCUCUUUAUCUGCAAUGCAGAAAUCAUACAGGCCCUUCUCAGCAUGAGCUUCUAAGAAGCCCUGGUGAGCUGGAAGUAACGCAGAGCUGGCCUGUACCAGGUGUGAGGAAGGAAACACUCCAGAGACGUGGGGAUGUUUGUGGCCAGUUGAUGGCAUCCAGGGCAGGAAUAAUCACUGCCGGUGGAGCCAGUCAUGAUUCUUUUCUUCAGCAGUGGAACGAAUAGGACUGACAGGAGGGAUUUUGUGUUCCUUUCUACCUCAUUUCAAGCACUGAAAAAAUAUCCAUUCUGAGUACCCUAGACUAUCUUCCCAUUCUGCUGCUGUUGAACAAAAUUUGGUAUUUUACUUAACUUUGAACAGAUCUGUAUGCUCUUAAUUCAGGUCCAAGUUGCCUUCCGGCUCUUCAUAAGAAAGACAGCCAAAUUAGUACUCAAGAAUUGGCUUUGCAAGAAACAGAUCUGGAUUAAAAAUCAUGCUAAAAGCAGUUGUUUCUUGUAACUUCUAAGUAACACUAAAAGAUCUUGUUGAACUCCCAGAUGCACAGAGGCAUUUUAAAUGAUGCAUGUUUCUUUUACUAGCUAACCUUUUCCAAUCUUUCAAGUCAUGUUAUCUUUAGGAAUCAAUAAACUAGCAGUAAAAGAAACUAAAAAAAACA
This 794-nucleotide long non-coding RNA is filed under the name Coturnix japonica (Japanese quail). RNAcentral describes it as "lncRNA (ENSCJPG00005017692.1)". The record is from RNAcentral. Lineage: Eukaryota; Metazoa; Chordata; Aves; Galliformes; Phasianidae.